UGGUGGAGUGAUUUGUCUGGUUAAUUCCGAUAACGAACGAGAUCGCAUCCUACUAAAUAGUGGCACGAAUCGUCUACCGGGUGAAGGCUAUCGGCUUUGGGGGCUGGGAAACUGGCUACUUCAGACUGGUGGUUGGAUCCUUGAUGAAUUGGUGUCAACAAACUUCUUAGAGGGACUGUCGGUGAUUAACCGAAGGAAGUGCGGCAAUAACA
RNAcentral lists this ribosomal RNA (212 nucleotides) under uncultured eukaryote. RNAcentral describes it as "partial 18S ribosomal RNA". It matches the Rfam family "Eukaryotic small subunit ribosomal RNA", at positions 1299 to 1458 of the family's 1831-position model. The record is from RNAcentral.